This 253-nucleotide ribosomal RNA is filed under the name uncultured bacterium. RNAcentral describes it as "partial 16S ribosomal RNA". It matches the Rfam family "Bacterial small subunit ribosomal RNA", at positions 524 to 776 of the family's 1533-position model. The record is from RNAcentral.
UACGAAGGGGGCUAGCGUUGCUCGGAAUCACUGGGCGUAAAGGGUAGGUAGGUGGUCUCAUUUGUCUGGGGUGAAAUCCUUGGGCUUAACCCAAGAAGUGCCCCAGAAACGGUGAGACUGGAGUCCUGGAGAGGGUCGUGGAAUUCCCGGUGUAGCGGUGAAAUGCGUAGAGAUCGGGAGGAACACCAGAGGCGAAGGCGGCGACCUGGACAGGUACUGACACUCAACUACAAAAGCGUGGGGAGCAAACAGG